GUUUCAUAGCUAAAUAUUUGAUAUUAAAUGAAAGCCCUGUUUCCCCUGAAUAAAAUGAUAUAUAAUAAGGGUGGGUGCAUUUACUAUGAAAGAGGUGAAUUACGGUUGGACAGACAUGUAGCGCAAAUGCCAGGUUUUGUUUACAUUUUGUUUUGUUCACAACGUGUACAUUUGGCUCCGUCCUUAAGGGGUUAAUAGAUUCUUGCUGGACUUUAAUAUCACAGACAAAUUUUCCAUGGAGACAAUGAUUGCAUUUAUUUCCUUUUGCCACCUUCACCUAACACUAUCAUUCAAUACCAUUAAAUUAUAUAUCACCGGUAUUCAACAUCACAUCCUCACCACUUGGCCUAAUAAACAACGCUUUCUGUCAUCUUACCAAGUGAAAGCCAUUCUUAAAGGUAUCAAGGACUCCACCCCUACACCCACACCAUCCAGAUUACCCAUCCACGAUCUAUUGUUCCAGUCACUGUCAAACCUAUUAAACACCUCACCAUUUAAAACUUAUACUAAUCAUGUCAUUAAAACAGCCAUCUAUUUAGCUUUUUACGGUUUUCUUCGGCCCAAAGAAUUUACCACUGCUAACUACAACACCCCCAACUUCAUCACAAGGUCAAACCUGGUAAAAUCACACGAUCACUAUUUACUGUCCCUACACCAUACGAAAACUAGUGCCAAGGGUCAGUUGGUCACUAUUGCCUAUUACCCCACUAGUAAUAAAUGGUGCCCUGUGUAAAUUUUCGACCAAUACCUCUCCUCCUUUCCAAUGGCGCCAACACAACUACUACUAGCCUUACACGGUAAUACGCUCAGUACGAGUAAAUUCAUGCUCUAUGUAAGAAUGCUGUUCUUGAACCCAGUCGAAUAUUCAGGUCACUCAUUUAGAAUAGGAGCAGCUACUACCGCUUCUAAAAGGAAUAUUCCGGUGCACAUCAUUAAAAUAUUAGGCUGGUGGAAAUCCACGGCUUAUACCAGACACAUUCCUCAGCCAGUACAAGAGGUGCGCCUAGCAUUUAAGAAUAUGAUUAUGUGAUAUCCUAUUGUGUAUUGUAGGCUGAAUAAACUGGUUACAUCUUUUUGCCCUCUUUUAUUUCAGGCCUACUACCUCGUCAGUUCCGGUACACCACAACUGACUUUUCCAUCCCCUGUUUGUUUUAUGUUCCUAACGCUUCGGCUUUGUGCCCUGACCACAAAUAUAUAUAUAUAUAUAUACAUACACACACACACACACAUAUACUGCUGUGUGUGUGUGUGUGAGGGUGCUGUUAGUGUGAUGUGUGGGUGAGGGUGCUGGUAGUGUGCUAUGUGGGUGAGGGUGUUUGUGUGUGCGUGCUUGUGAGGGUGCUGUUUGUGUGUGUGUGCGCUUGUGAGGGUGCGGUUAAUGUACUGUGUGUGAGGGUGCAGUUUGUGUGUGAGGGUAUUGGUAGUGUGCUGUGUGUG
Molecule: non-coding RNA, 1437 nt
Organism: Pelobates cultripes (western spadefoot toad)
Lineage: Eukaryota; Metazoa; Chordata; Amphibia; Anura; Pelobatidae
Source: the annotation of a GenBank genome assembly